RNAcentral lists this ribosomal RNA (1287 nucleotides) under Bacillus sp. (in: firmicutes). Its description in RNAcentral is "Bacillus sp. (in: Bacteria) partial 16S ribosomal RNA". It matches the Rfam family "Bacterial small subunit ribosomal RNA", at positions 49 to 1330 of the family's 1533-position model. Lineage: Bacteria; Bacillati; Bacillota; Bacilli; Caryophanales; Bacillaceae. The record is from RNAcentral.
UAAAAAAAAAAAUGGGGGGGGCCGGGGGGGGUUUUUUCCCUUGGGUGGGGGGGGGGGGGGGGGAAAACCGGGGGGAACCCCCCCUUAAAGCGGGGAAAAUUCCGGGAAACCGGGGUUAAUCCCGGAUGUUUGAUGGACCCCCAGGUUCAAUCAUAAAAGGGGCUUUUAGCUACCCUUCCCGAUGGACCCGGGGGCCUUAGCUAGUUGGUGAGGUAACGGUUCACCAAGGCGACGAUGCGUAGCCGACCUGAGAGGGUGAUCGGCCACACUGGGACUGAGACACGGCCCAGACUCCUACGGGAGGCAGCAGUAGGGAAUCUUCCGCAAUGGACGAAAGUCUGACGGAGCAACGCCGCGUGAGUGAUGAAGGUUUUCGGAUCGUAAAACUCUGUUGUUAGGGAAGAACAAGUACCGUUCGAAUAGGGCGGUACCUUGACGGUACCUAACCAGAAAGCCACGGCUAACUACGUGCCAGCAGCCGCGGUAAUACGUAGGUGGCAAGCGUUGUCCGGAAUUAUUGGGCGUAAAGCGCGCGCAGGCGGUUUCUUAAGUCUGAUGUGAAAGCCCCCGGCUCAACCGGGGAGGGUCAUUGGAAACUGGGGAACUUGAGUGCAGAAGAGGAGAGUGGAAUUCCACGUGUAGCGGUGAAAUGCGUAGAGAUAUGCAGGAGGUCCAAUGGCAAAGGCGACUCUCGGGUCUGUAACAGACGCUGAGGCGCGAAAGCGGGGGGAGCGACCAGGCUUGGGUACAACGGUAGUCCACGCCGUAAACGAUGAGUGCUAAGUGUUGCGGCAUUGCCGUCCUCGAUAGCUGCGGUUCCGCUUUAUGCACUCCGCCUGGGGAGUAUUGUAGCAAGACUGAAACUCAAACGAUUUGAUGUUGGCUUGCACCCGCGGUGGUGGUUGUUCUUUUAUUCGAAGCAACGCGAAGAACCUUACCAGGUCUUGGCGUCCUCUGACAGCACGGGGGGGGGGGCUUCCCCCUCGGGGGAAGGAUGACAGGUGGUGCAUGGUUGUCGUCAGCUCGUGUCGUGGGAUUUUGGAGUCAUCCCCCCAACGAGCGCCUCCCCCGGUCUUAGUUACCGGCAUCUCCUUUGGCACCCUACGGUUUAUCCCGAAAAAAAAUAAGGGGAAGGCGGGUAUGACCCCAAACUUUCAAACCCGGGUUGGCCUGUGCUGUCUAUGUUCCCAAAGACGCAAAACAAAGAUUUAAAGAGCCGCGAGGCUAAGCCAAUAACACAAAUCCUUAAGGGGAUCGCAGUCUGCAACUCGACUGCGUGAAGCUGGA